RNAcentral lists this ribosomal RNA (445 nucleotides) under uncultured bacterium. Its description in RNAcentral is "bacterial SSU rRNA". It matches the Rfam family "Bacterial small subunit ribosomal RNA", at positions 94 to 526 of the family's 1533-position model. The record is from RNAcentral.
AGUGGCGAAAGGGUGAGGAAUAAAUAGGUAACGUACCCUGAACUUCGGGAUAGCGUCUGAAUGCUUCGGCAUUCUACCGAAAGGGGCAUUAAUACCGAAUAACGCCCCCGUACAUAAGUGCGGUGGCCAAAGAUUUAUCGGUUUGGGAGCGGCCUAUUUCCUAUCAGCUAGUUGGUGAGGUAACGGCCCACCAAGGCUUUGACGGGUAGCGGGACUGAGAGGUUGGCCCGCCACAUCGGGACUGAGACACUGCCCGGACCUCCACGGAGGGCUGCAGUAACGGAUAUUGGGCAAUGGGCGAAAGCCUGACCCAGCGACGCCACGUGUAGGAAGAAGCCCCUCGGGGUGUAAACUACUGUCAGGGGUUAGAAAGUCCGGGUUCGCCCGGAUUGAUCGGCCCCAGAGGAAGUCACGGCUAACUUCGUGCCAACAGCCGCGGUAAUAC